GUCGAGAAUCUUUCACAAUGGGGGCAACCCUGAUGGAGCGACGCCGCGUGGAGGAUAAGGUCUUCGGAUUGUAAACUCCUGUCAUGCGUGAACAAGGUUGCUUGGUUAAUACCUGGGCAAAUUGAUGGUAACGCAAGAGGAAGAGACGGCUAACUCUGUGCCAGCAGCCGCGGUAAUACAGAGGUCUCAAGCGUUGUUCGGAAUCACUGGGCGUAAAGGGCGCGUAGGCGGGAAGGUGUUUCGACCUGUAAAUCUAUCGUUUCAAGCGGUAGGCUUGGGUGGAAACUGCCGUUCUAGAGGAUUUCAGGGGAGUUUGGAAUUUACGGUGUAGCAGUGAAAUGCGUGGAUAUCGUAAGGAAGGCUUGUGGCGAAGGCGAAACUCUGGGGAAUACCUGACGCUGAGGCGCGAAGGCUAGGUUAGCAAACGGGAUUAGAAACCCGGGUAGUCC
RNAcentral lists this ribosomal RNA (449 nucleotides) under uncultured bacterium. RNAcentral describes it as "partial 16S ribosomal RNA". It matches the Rfam family "Bacterial small subunit ribosomal RNA", at positions 354 to 796 of the family's 1533-position model. The record is from RNAcentral.